This 53-nucleotide ribosomal RNA is filed under the name Petrorhagia saxifraga. Its description in RNAcentral is "partial 28S ribosomal RNA". The record is from RNAcentral. Lineage: Eukaryota; Viridiplantae; Streptophyta; Magnoliopsida; Caryophyllales; Caryophyllaceae. RNAcentral also lists the same sequence under 2 other names.
CCCAGGUCAGGCGGGGCUACCCGCUGAAUUUAAGCAUAUCAAUAAGCCGGAGG